This 301-nucleotide ribosomal RNA is filed under the name uncultured bacterium. RNAcentral's name for it is "partial 16S ribosomal RNA". It matches the Rfam family "Bacterial small subunit ribosomal RNA", at positions 509 to 809 of the family's 1533-position model. The record is from RNAcentral.
CAGUAGCCGCGGUAAUACGUAGGGUGCGAGCGUUAAUCGGAAUUACUGGGCGUAAAGCGUGCGCAGGCGGUUCGUUAAGACAGAUGUGAAAUCCCCGGGCUUAACCUGGGAACCGCAUUUGUGACUGGCGAGCUAGAGUAUGGCAGAGGGGGGUAGAAUUCCACGUGUAGCAGUGAAAUGCGUAGAGAUGUGGAGGAAUACCGAUGGCGAAGGCAGCCCCCUGGGCCAAUACUGACGCUCAUGCACGAAAGCGUGGGGAGCAAACAGGAUUAGAUACCCCCGUAGUCCCUGUCUCUUAUAA